Molecule: ribosomal RNA, 433 nt
Filed under: uncultured bacterium
Lineage: Bacteria
Description: partial 16S ribosomal RNA
Rfam family: Bacterial small subunit ribosomal RNA
Source: RNAcentral
AACGAACGCUGGCGGCAUGCCUAACACAUGCAAGUCGAACGAGACCUUCGGGUCUAGUGGCGCACGGGUGCGUAACGCGUGGGAACCUGCCCUUAGGUUCGGAAUAACUCACCGAAAGGGGUGCUAAUACCGGAUAAUGUCUUCGGACCAAAGAUUUAUCGCCUUUGGAUGGGCCCGCGUUGGAUUAGCUAGUUGGUAGGGUAAAAGCCUACCAAGGCGACGAUCCAUAGCUGGUCUGAGAGGAUGAUCAGCCACACUGGGACUGCGACACGGCCCAGACUCCUACGGGAGGCAGCAGUGGGGAAUAUUGGACAAUGGGCGAAAGCCUGAUCCAGCAAUGCCGCGUGAGUGAUGAAGGCCUUAGGGUUGUAAAGCUCUUUUACCCGGGAUGAUAAUGACAGUACCGGGAGAAUAAGCUCCGGCUAACUCCGUG